This 171-nucleotide ribosomal RNA is filed under the name uncultured bacterium. Its description in RNAcentral is "partial 16S ribosomal RNA". It matches the Rfam family "Bacterial small subunit ribosomal RNA", at positions 336 to 524 of the family's 1533-position model. The record is from RNAcentral.
CUCCUACGGGAGGCAGCAGUGGGGAAUAUUGGACAAUGGGGGCAACCCUGAUCCAGCAAUGCCGCGUGUGUGAAGAAGGUCUUCGGAUUGUAAAGCACUUUCACUAGGGAAGAUGAUGACGGUACCUAGAGAAGAAGCCCCGGCUAACUACGUGCCAGCAGCCGCGGUAAU